UUCUCUGACAGUGAGAGAGAAGAGUCUGAAUAUGAAAGUGAUGGGGUGGAAUUCGAGAGGUCUCCCACCUGGAAAAGGGCUGAGGAGCCAGAGCAGGAUUAUGAAGAAGAGGAAGAAGAGGAGGAAGAACGCUAUGAAGAAGAGGCAGAAGUGGAUGGAGCAUCAGAAGAGGAAGAGGAGGCUGAGGAGCCAAAGCAAAAGUCCAAGGAGGUUGGAGGCAGUCACAAACGAGCAGGGAUUGAAUCAGAUGAGGAAUCCCCUCCAAGAAAGAUUUCAACCCACCGAAGAAUGGCAGUUGUUUAUGACAGUGAUGAGGAAUGAAUGCUUCCUUGAGUUGAUUUUAGUAAAAUUUUAUAUUUUCGUCCAUGAUUAUUGUUUAUAAUGUUUUGAAAUUUAUAUAUAUUUGUAUUGACUUUUUCAAUAUUAGUCCAUGGAGAUGUUUAAUUGCGACAAAAAUCAACUCAAGGAAGCAUUCAUUCCU
RNAcentral lists this unclassified non-coding RNA (481 nucleotides) under Hevea brasiliensis (rubber tree). Lineage: Eukaryota; Viridiplantae; Streptophyta; Magnoliopsida; Malpighiales; Euphorbiaceae. The record is from RNAcentral.